GCGCGGUGACCGCCAAGUUGCCACGCUUUCACGUACAUUACUGCAUAAUUGUUUCCUAGUAAAUAGAAUUUGAAUUCUAUUUACUAGGAAACAAUAUUUAAAUUCCUUGCUGCACGGGCGGCCGCCGCGUAGGCCAAAGACAAGCCGGCCUCGCCCGCGCGCCCGGUUUGCACGUUUAAGUUAAAACGUAAAAGCUAAACAAAUGGAGCGUAUUUUGCCGCAACAGUUCGGUCUCUGAAUACGUGCACGUGGUCACUGCGCGGCGACCACGUGGUCUCCGCUGCUAUAGUUGUCACCGAAUAAGAGGCCAAAUUUGACAUUUGUCAUCGUGACGCGAAUAGGGAUGUGGACUAAUCAUAUCGAACCGCUGCAACCGCGAGGCAGCCGCGCGACAGUCACGCUCGGUUGCAGUCACGAUUACCGAGGUGUAUAUGUUAAUUUUCCAAGUUAACCACGAUAGAUGAAAAUUGAAUUGAAGAAUUUAUAGAGAAUGUAAAUCAACACCCUGCAAUAUGGGCUAGCAGUUCCGCCAGUUAUUCCAGUCAACUGGAUAAAAAAAAGGCAUGGACGCAAGGGUUCGGCCCGUUAACAGAUAUACUUGUGACAGAUCCUGAUGCUGUGAAGGCUAUACAAGAAGCUUUCGCUUUUUCUAGAGGUUCUACGCUACAUGCAAUAACACCAGCAAGAUUAAAGUCCAAGGGAUAUAAUUAUAACCUUCUAUUUAGGACCGAGAUUGCUGAUGUGAGCAAUGCAUUAUCGGCAAUAUGUGCGGCCUUGGUCCACAAAGAAUGGACUUUCGAAAUUAAAUAUGUGU
Molecule: long non-coding RNA, 814 nt
Organism: Hyposmocoma kahamanoa
Lineage: Eukaryota; Metazoa; Arthropoda; Insecta; Lepidoptera; Cosmopterigidae
Exons: 3
Source: RefSeq, a predicted model, not a curated record